AGCCAGACUCCUACGGGAGGCAGCAGUGAGGAAUAUUGGUCAAUGGGCGGGAGCCUGAACCAGCCAAGUCGCGUGAGGGACGACGGCCCUAUGGAUUGUAAACCUCUUUUGUCGGGGAACAAAGGCGCCCACGGGUGGGCGGAUGAGUGUACCCGAAGAAAAAGCGUCGGCUAACUCCGUGCCAGCAGCCGCGGUAAUACGUAGGUGGCGAGCGUUGUCCGGAUUUACUGGGCGUAAAGGGAGCGUAGGCGGCAAGGUAAGCCAGAAGUGAAAGCCCGCGGCUUAACUGCGGGACUGCUUUUGGAACUAUCUAGCUAGAUUGCAGGAGAGGUAAGUGGAAUUCCUAGUGUAGCGGUGAAAUGCGUAGAUAUUAGGAGGAACACCAGUGGCGAAGGCGGCUUACUGGACUGUAAAUGACGCUGAGGCUCGAAAGCGUGGGGAGCAAACAGGAUUAGAUACCCUCGUAA
Molecule: ribosomal RNA, 467 nt
Filed under: uncultured bacterium
Lineage: Bacteria
Description: bacterial SSU rRNA
Rfam family: Bacterial small subunit ribosomal RNA
Source: RNAcentral